AUUGAACGCUGGCGGCAUGCCUUACACAUGCAAGUCGAACGGUAACAGGUUAAGCUGACGAGUGGCGAACGGGUGAGUAAUGUAUCGGAACGUGCCCAGUCGUGGGGGAUAACUGCUCGAAAGAGCAGCUAAUACCGCAUACGACCUGAGGGUGAAAGAGGGGGAUCGCAAGACCUCGCGCGAUUGGAGCGGCCGAUAUCAGAUUAGGUAGUUGGUGAGGUAAAGGCUCACCAAGCCGACGAUCUGUAGCUGGACUGAGAGGACGACCAGCCACACUGGGACUGAGACACGGCCCAGACUCCUACGGGAGGCAGCAGUGGGGAAUUUUGGACAAUGGGCGCAAGCCUGAUCCAGCCAUGCCGCGUGCGGGAAGAAGGCCUUCGGGUUGUAAACCGCUUUUGUCAGGGAAGAAAAGGUUCUGGCUAAUACCUGGGACUCAUGACGGUACCUGAAGAAUAAGCACCGGCUAACUACGUG
RNAcentral lists this ribosomal RNA (477 nucleotides) under uncultured bacterium. RNAcentral's name for it is "partial 16S ribosomal RNA". It matches the Rfam family "Bacterial small subunit ribosomal RNA", at positions 30 to 507 of the family's 1533-position model. The record is from RNAcentral.